UAUAAAUAUGCUUGUGGAUUUUCGUGUCCAAUGUUUAACUGUCGGUUUUAUUUAAAAAAAAUUAUGAUUAGUAUUUUAAUUGUUAUUAGAUGAUAAAACAUAAACAGUAUUUUACGUGACUAUUUUCUAAUCCUUUUAGAAAUUUUUUAAAUAAGAUGAAGAGUCAAACAUUAAACACGGAAACUCACAGCUAUAAUUACA
This is a non-coding RNA of Oryza glumipatula, 201 nucleotides long. Lineage: Eukaryota; Viridiplantae; Streptophyta; Magnoliopsida; Poales; Poaceae. The record is from Rfam.